Molecule: long non-coding RNA, 1250 nt
Filed under: Zalophus californianus (California sea lion)
Lineage: Eukaryota; Metazoa; Chordata; Mammalia; Carnivora; Otariidae
Description: lncRNA (ENSZCAG00015017805.1)
Source: RNAcentral
GGACCUCAAAACAAUGAUAGUAGUGGCCUCAGCAGGGGCAUUGGAAUUUUGUUUACAGAGCCUACCACUGGCAGGUGUGGACAGCAUGUUCUGAGACCUUUCUUCCCUGCCUCUUCUCUGCCUUCUGAGGCUGAAGGACUGGAUGAGCUGCGUUCAUCAGCUCUUCCUUUGUUGAACUUUCUGGCAACAUGGAAGCCCAUUGAGGAUGGACCAGAAAGCACCUCGAUUAUUCCUCCAAAGAGGCAGCGAUGCUCCCGCAGGCUAUGUGAGCUGGUGACGGCAUAGCCUGUAAUAAAUGAGCACGUAUGUCUCCGGUUUCUUACGCAGGGUGCCUUCUGGGUGGUUGGAAUGGAGGUUUCCCAUAGAGGCUUAAGCCUUCAGGGGUAGAUGUUGAUUAUAUACUCCCACUGCUAUGGUGGGACUCCUUCUCCUAUUGCCCUGCCCUUCGGUCACUUCGGAUCUUCCUCCACCUUCACUAGCCCUUCCUGGUCUCUCUUGGGGUCCUCGCUUCAGUCUCCUUUGGGCCAGGAUUUAGGAAGUGUCUGGAUGGCACUGGCUUCAUAGAGGAGACUGCCUGCUCAGGUGGCAAUUGGAAAGUCAGUUUGCAUCCUGGACAAUCCACUUAACUUUCUUGAAUGAGGAAUAUCAUGGACUUGCCGGCAGACGGCACUGAGCUAACCUGAGAGUCCUGCGGGGACACGGAGUAUGGACUCCAGGGAGAAGAGCUGAGCCCGUGGGAUCAGAUAAGCGCCUCUUAGCAAUGGAAAACCGAGGGGAGGAAAACACGCGUUUGCAAUAGAAGAGCCUGCGAAGACACGUGAUUGCAGUAGGGGCGGGGGUGGGGGUUGGAGAGGCACAGGGUCAUCACGGUGGUGAUGCCUGGAGAAGUGGUGAGCGCUGGAGGGCGGUGGCGGCUGGGGCGUGGGGGCACAAGGCGGGAGCGAGGCUCGCCUAGGAGGGUGCCACGAAGAGCAACUGUGCACUGCGGGGUCCUCGGGAGCGGGCUGGGGGACGCAGGACGGGGUCCCCGGCUUGCGACCCCUCCGCGACGAAGCUCACGCUGCCCAGCGGAUGUUGGACCCACUGCAACGGGUGACGGAGAAACGGUGCGCGAGCCAAGGGCGCGAAGACCUAGCGGCCAAGGGCAAAGGGCGAGGUCCAACGGCCCAAGCCCAGCUGACUCCCCGAGCCUUCGAGCCUUCCCUCACCUCGUUCCAGGCGUUUGGCACCCAAAGGGCCACGCCAGGUAG